GAUGAACGCUGGCGGCGUGCCUAAUACAUGCAAGUCGAGCGAACAGACGAGGAGCUUGCUCCUCUGACGUUAGCGGCGGACGGGUGAGUAACACGUGGAUAACCUACCUAUAAGACUGGGAUAACUUCGGGAAACCGGAGCUAAUACCGGAUAAUAUAUUGAACCGCAUGGUUCAAUAGUGAAAGACGGUUUUGCUGUCACUUAUAGAUGGAUCCGCGCCGCAUUAGCUAGUUGGUAAGGUAACGGCUUACCAAGGCAACGAUGCGUAGCCGACCUGAGAGGGUGAGCGGCCACACAGGAACUGAGCCACGGUCCAGACUCCUACGGGAGGCAGCAGUAGGGAAUCUUCCGCAAUGGGCGAAAGCCUGACGGAGCAACGCCGCGGGAGUGAUGAAGGUCUUCGGAUCGUAAAACUCUGUUAUUAGGGAAGAACAAAUGUGUAAGUAACUAUGCACGUCGUGACGGUACCUAAUCAGAAAGCCACGGCUAACUAC
This 494-nucleotide ribosomal RNA is filed under the name uncultured bacterium. RNAcentral's name for it is "partial 16S ribosomal RNA". It matches the Rfam family "Bacterial small subunit ribosomal RNA", at positions 28 to 504 of the family's 1533-position model. The record is from RNAcentral.